CCUUAGCUAAAAAAUUAGGUCAUUCGAUCUCCCACCCAAACCGCGCGCGCUCUCGGCCUCUUUGGACUCACCAAAAUCGUGUUCCCUCCCUUGGCUAAAAAAUUAGGUCAUAUUCUCCCACCCAAAAUUGCUCUCAGCCUCUCGGACUCACCAAAAUCGUGUUCCCUCCCUUAGCUAAAAAAUUCGGUCAUUCUCCCACCCAAAAUCGCUCUCAGCCUUUCUCCCUGUUCAACUUUCUCUAAUGUGAACGAUCCCUACUAAAAUUGACCAUGUCAGAGCAGAGAUCCGGGUUAAGAAUCCGAGACGCCAGCCCGGACUCGGUUAUUUACACACUCGAGUCCAGCCUCUUCUCCUCUUCCGCUUCCGCCAGCGUUGACCGCUGCUCCUUCGCCUCCGAAGCCUUUGACCACGACUCCACCGACUCCGACUCCACCGCCUCCGAGAUCUCUCCGAACUCGGCGGCGCACCGUCACCAGGUUGAAGAGAGCUCCAGUGGUCCGGAUCGCGAUCCAGAUCCGAAGACGAAGCCCGCUUUACACAUCACCAGCCACCACCACGGUCGUCGAUCCAGAAAAGGAGAAAAGGCCAAAGGUACUACAGCUAAGCUUCGGGACGACGUCGCUUUCUUCCUUUCCUUUUCAGUUUUUCCAAACGAUCUGACUUUCUGUUUUCCCUGACUUUCACUCUUUGGCUUGGAGCUUGCACAGUUCCAAAGCAAGACAGCGACGCCGACUUGGUUCUUGAUUCAGCACGAAGCUCUUUCUCUCUCGCCUUGAAAGGUAAGCCCCCCAAUUUUGUCCACUACAAUCCAAUCCAAUCCAUUCCUAGCCAAAAACCAAAUGACCCUUGUGUUUUAUAGAAUGUCAGGACCGUCGAUCUAGAUCUGAAGCUCUGUCCAAGAAGCUAGACAGGUCGAGACCCGCUUCUUUGGAUUUGAACAAUGUCACCGCCUCGUCUCCGAGAUUGGGGACCUUAAAGAAGAGCUCAACGGCGUCUCGCAAGUCUGGAACCUUCCCAAGUCCCGGAACACCUACCUACCGGCAUACUAGUCUUGGAGUGCAGAAGGGUUGGAGCUCGGAGCGAGUUCCGGCCAAUGCUAAUUUGGGGGGCAGGAAGAAUACAACUGCUGCUGCUAUGUUGCCAUUCAACAAUGGGAGGACGUUGCCGUCGAAAUGGGAAGAUGCAGAAAGGUGGAUUUUCAGUCCGGUUGAGGGGGAUGGUGUGACGAGGCAGUCGAACAGCAAUUAUAUCGAAUUGCGCUGCGCUCCGGUGCUUGCCAGAUAGUGGGCUACCCACUUCCCUUCAAAGCUUGGAGAUUGUGUAUUGCCCUGCUCUGCAGUGCUUGCCAGAUAGUGGACUACCCUCUUCUCUUUCUCAUCUACGUAUCAGUGAUUGCCCUUUGCUUCAGGAACGGUGCCAAAGAGAGACGGGUGAAGAUUGGCCCAAGAUUGCUCACAUCAAGCACAUAGAGAUCAAUAGACGAACAGUUCUAGGGCUUGCAUUCUGAUCAGUUUGGCCACGUCUCAGAGGGCUUGCAUAUUCUACGUGUAAGAUCCUAUUGUUUGAAGUCAUUGCAUAUUCUAGGGUCUGGCUUGAACUCAUGAUCGAUGGGUUUGACAAGGACAAGCCAUACGAAGGAGAAACAGACCAUUUCCAUUCCCUAAGUUUCGUGGAAAGUGAGCAAAAUAUCUUGAUAUGUUAAGACGGAGAUAGGCCAAGGUUAAGAUUGCUCACAGGACCAAUAUUGCCAUGUCUUGCUGUUCUUCUCUUCUUAUCUGAACUUGCACACUGUUCUUUAUCUCCUCCACUCAUCCACACUGUUUCCAAGCAGAAUGAAAAUCACAGGGAGAUGAGAACCAAUUUUUUGUCAGUCAAUACUUGUACUGAUAGCUAGAGUGUGGAUCUUGCAUAUCGAAUUAGCAUGGGCAGAAUAAGGUCAUUGUAUAUAGAUUAAUGACUUGUGCGACUGUUGAAGAAAAGAUAUACAGAAAACAGGGUAUUCCGGAGCAAAAGACCGACAAGGAUUGUGGAUAUUUUAUAAUGAGAUACAUGAAGGAAAUAGUGGAGGAUAAAACCUUGGACAUUUUCAGCAAGUGGGGGAGAAGAAGUAAAGCAGCAUAUUCCCAGGAGGAUAUCGAUGUGGUCAGAACUGAGUGGGCAAAGUUUGUGGUUAAAACAUAUAUGUAAGAUUUGUGUUGGUACUUCUUGGAGACCUAGUUCAAAGUUUGUGGUUAUGUUUUGGUUGGACAGGAUCAGUAGCUAGUACUUUGAAUUGAUAUGUAAGAAAUACUUUAACAAUUGGGUACUCUAUUUCUAGUUUCGGUGUGUUUUGGCAAUGUAUGACAAUGAUGUGCUAUAGUAAAUGACAUUUGAACUAAUUUGUGUUUCA
Rosa rugosa (rugosa rose) is the source of this 2389-nucleotide RNA transcript. RefSeq lists it as uncharacterized. The transcript is spliced from 7 exons. NCBI's taxonomy places the organism in Eukaryota, Viridiplantae, Streptophyta, Magnoliopsida, Rosales, Rosaceae. The record is from RefSeq and is a predicted model, not a curated record.